Molecule: non-coding RNA, 48 nt
Filed under: Trichobilharzia regenti
Lineage: Eukaryota; Metazoa; Platyhelminthes; Trematoda; Strigeidida; Schistosomatidae
Source: RNAcentral
AUCCAGAUGACGGGUCCCAAAUAGGACGAAAUGCGCGUGAUCCUGGAU